CGAACGGGUGAGUAAUACAUCGGAACGUGUCCAGUAGCGGGGGAUAACCUCUCGAAAGAGAGGCUAAUACCGCAUACGACCUACGGGUGAAAGAGGGGGAUCGCAAGACCUCUCACUAUUGGAGCGGCCGAUGUCGGAUUAGCUAGUUGGCGGGGUAACGGCCCACCAAGGCGACGAUCCGUAGCUGGUCUGAGAGGACGACCAGCCACACUGGAACUGAGACACGGUCCAG
This 232-nucleotide ribosomal RNA is filed under the name uncultured bacterium. Its description in RNAcentral is "partial 16S ribosomal RNA". It matches the Rfam family "Bacterial small subunit ribosomal RNA", at positions 99 to 334 of the family's 1533-position model. The record is from RNAcentral.